This 254-nucleotide ribosomal RNA is filed under the name uncultured bacterium. Its description in RNAcentral is "partial 16S ribosomal RNA". It matches the Rfam family "Bacterial small subunit ribosomal RNA", at positions 524 to 776 of the family's 1533-position model. The record is from RNAcentral.
UACGGAGGGUGCGAGCGUUGUCCGGAAUCACUGGGCGUAAAGGGCGCGUAGGCGGCUGGGGAAGUCGGCGGGGAAAGCCCGGAGCUCAACUCCGGGUCGGCCGUCGAGACUCCUCGGCUCGAGCUCACUAGAGGCAGAUGGAAUUCCGGGUGUAGCGGUGGAAUGCGUAGAGAUCCGGAAGGAACACCAGUGGCGAAAGCGGCUUCCUGGUCCGACACCGACGUUCAGGCACGAAAGCGUGGGGAGCAAACAGG